Molecule: ribosomal RNA, 450 nt
Filed under: uncultured Glomus
Lineage: Eukaryota; Fungi; Glomeromycota; Glomeromycetes; Glomerales; Glomeraceae
Description: SSU rRNA
Rfam family: Eukaryotic small subunit ribosomal RNA
Source: RNAcentral
AGCAGCCGCGGUAAUUCCAGCUCCAAUAGCGUAUAUUAAAGUUGUUGCAGUUAAAAAGCUCGUAGUUGAAUUUCGGGGUUAGUAGGUUGGUCAUGCCUCUGGUAUGUACUGGUCUCACUGAUUCCUCCUUCCUGAUGAGCCGUAAUGCCAUUAAUUUGGUGUUGCGAGGAAUCUGGACUGUUACUUUGAAAAAUUAGAGUGUUUAAAGCAGGCUAACGCUUGAAUACAUUAGCAUGGAAUAAUGAAAUAGGACGUUCGAUCCUAUUUUGUUGGUUUCUAGGAUUGACGUAAUGAUUAAUAGGGAUAGUUGGGGGCAUUAGUAUUCAAUUGUCAGAGGUGAAAUUCUUGGAUUUAUUGAAGACUAACUACUGCGAAAGCAUUUGCCAAGGAUGUUUUCAUUAAUCAAGAACGAAAGUUAGGGGAUCGAAGACGAUCAGAUACUGUCGUAGU